This 397-nucleotide ribosomal RNA is filed under the name uncultured bacterium. RNAcentral's name for it is "partial 16S ribosomal RNA". It matches the Rfam family "Bacterial small subunit ribosomal RNA", at positions 523 to 918 of the family's 1533-position model. The record is from RNAcentral.
AUACGUAGGGGGCGAGCGUUGUCCGGAAUGAUUGGGCGUAAAGGGCGCGUAGGCGGCUUUGCAAGUCAGUAGUGGAAGUCCAUUUUUCAAGGAUGGAAGUGCUACAGAAACUGCGGAGCUUGAGUGCAGGAGAGGUUAUCGGAAUUCCCGGGGUAGCGGUGAAAUGCGUAGAGAUCGGGAGGAACACCAGUGGCGAAGGCGGGUAACUGGACUGCAACUGACGCUGAGGCGCGAAAGUGUGGGGAGCAAACAGGAUUAGAUACCCUGGUAGUCCACACUGUAAACGAUGAAUGCUAGGUGUAGGAGGUAUCGACCCCUUCUGUGCCGCAGUAAACACAGUAAGCAUUCCGCCUGGGGAGUACGGUCGCAAGAUUAAAACUCAAAUGAAUUGACGGGG